This 224-nucleotide long non-coding RNA is filed under the name Elaeis guineensis (African oil palm). RNAcentral describes it as "long non-coding RNA (EGUI_LNC038373)". The record is from RNAcentral. Lineage: Eukaryota; Viridiplantae; Streptophyta; Magnoliopsida; Arecales; Arecaceae.
GUUGAAGGAAAUAACUGAUUCUAAGUUUGAGAAGAGAAGCAUAUGUGUUGAUAUAAAAAAUAUAGGUCUUGCACUGUAUUGUUGCAAACUACUGCGUAAGUGAACCGACACAAAGCCCGAGCACUAUGUUAACAGAAAGGACCUAUUAACAAUAAAUAAAGAACCAGCAUCCUACAGUCAACACUGACACUGAGAGUAACAAUACUAAAUUAAUUUCGUGCUGC